This 281-nucleotide ribosomal RNA is filed under the name Clostridioides difficile. RNAcentral's name for it is "partial 16S ribosomal RNA". It matches the Rfam family "Bacterial small subunit ribosomal RNA", at positions 1021 to 1303 of the family's 1533-position model. Lineage: Bacteria; Bacillati; Bacillota; Clostridia; Peptostreptococcales; Peptostreptococcaceae. The record is from RNAcentral.
GGGGACAUUGGUGACAGGUGGUGCAUGGUUGUCGUCAGCUCGUGUCGUGAGAUGUUGGGUUAAGUCCCGCAACGAGCGCAACCCUUGUCUUUAGUUGCCAUCAUUAAGUUGGGCACUCUAGAGAGACUGCCAGGGAUAACCUGGAGGAAGGUGGGGAUGACGUCAAAUCAUCAUGCCCCUUAUGCUUAGGGCUACACACGUGCUACAAUGGGUAGUACAGAGGGUUGCCAAGCCGUAAGGUGGAGCUAAUCCCUUAAAGCUACUCUCAGUUCGGAUUGUAG